This 69-nucleotide transfer RNA is filed under the name Paraqianlabeo lineatus. RNAcentral describes it as "tRNA-Phe". It matches the Rfam family "tRNA". Rfam says of the family: Transfer RNA (tRNA) molecules are approximately 80 nucleotides in length. Lineage: Eukaryota; Metazoa; Chordata; Actinopteri; Cypriniformes; Cyprinidae. The record is from RNAcentral.
GCUAGCGUAGCUUAAUUUAAAGUAUAACAUUGAAGAUGCUAAGACGAACCCUAGAAAGUUCCGCAUGCA